This 80-nucleotide transfer RNA is filed under the name Sphaerobolus stellatus SS14. It matches the Rfam family "tRNA". From Rfam's summary of the family: Transfer RNA (tRNA) molecules are approximately 80 nucleotides in length. Their secondary structure includes four short double-helical elements and three loops (D, anti-codon, and T loops). Further hydrogen bonds mediate the characteristic L-shaped molecular structure. tRNAs have two regions of fundamental functional importance: the anti-codon, which is responsible for specific mRNA codon recognition, and the 3' end, to which the tRNAs corresponding amino acid is attached (by aminoacyl-tRNA synthetases). tRNAs cope with the degeneracy of the genetic code in two manners: having more than one tRNA (with a specific anti-codon) for a particular amino acid; and 'wobble' base-pairing, i.e. permitting non-standard base-pairing at the 3rd anti-codon position. Lineage: Eukaryota; Fungi; Basidiomycota; Agaricomycetes; Geastrales; Sphaerobolaceae. The record is from Rfam by way of RNAcentral.
GCCUUGCUAGCUCAAUCGGUAGAGCGUGAGGCUCUUAUCCAGGGUAUCUUAAGGUUGGGGUUCGACCCCCCCGUGAGGCU